Molecule: non-coding RNA, 145 nt
Organism: Paramuricea clavata
Lineage: Eukaryota; Metazoa; Cnidaria; Anthozoa; Malacalcyonacea; Plexauridae
Source: the annotation of a GenBank genome assembly
ACUAGAUCGGCGCUCUACCAACUGAGCUACACGGUCAGACGGAUUUAAGACUGGAAAUUAUGAAAUAUAUAAUGAAUGUCAUAAACAUAUAUUUCAUAAUUUCCAAAUUGACCGUGUAGCUCAGUUGGUAGAGCGCCGAUCUAGU